This 497-nucleotide ribosomal RNA is filed under the name uncultured bacterium. Its description in RNAcentral is "partial 16S ribosomal RNA". It matches the Rfam family "Bacterial small subunit ribosomal RNA", at positions 28 to 507 of the family's 1533-position model. The record is from RNAcentral.
GAUGAACGCUGGCGGCGUGCCUAAUACAUGCCAGUCAAGCGAACGGACGAGAAGCUUGCUUCUCUGAUGUUAGCGGCGGACGGGUGAGUAACACGUGGAUAACCUACCUAUAAGACUGGGAUAACUUCGGGAAACCGGAGCUAAUACCGGCUAAUAUUUUGAACCGCAUGGUUCAAAAGUGAAAGACGGUCUUGCUGUCACUUAUAGAUGGAUCCGCGCUGCAUUAGCUAGUUGGUAAGGUAACGGCUUACCAAGGCAACGAUGCAUAGCCGACCUGAGAGGGUGAUCGGCCACACUGGAACUGAGACACGGUCCAGACUCCUACGGGAGGCAGCAGUAGGGAAUCUUCCGCAAUGGGCGAAAGCCUGACGGAGCAACGCCGCGUGAGUGAUGAAGGUCUUCGGAUCGUAAAACUCUGUUAUUAGGGAAGAACAUAUGUGUAAGUAACUGUGCACAUCUUGACGGUACCUAAUCAGAAAGCCACGGCUAACUACGUG